GCGCGAAAACUUUACAAUGCGGGAAACCGUGAUAAGGGAACUCCGAGUGUCCGUAAAUGCGGACUGUCCGUAUGUUUAAAAAGCAUGCGAAGAAAGGGCCGGGCAAGACCGGUGCCAGCCGCCGCGGUAAUACCGGCGGCUCGAGUGGUGGCCACUAUUACUGGGCUUAAAGCGUUCGUAGCUGGGUCGUUAAGUCUCUUGGGAAAUCUACCGGCUUAACCGAUAGGCGUCCAAGGGAUACUGGCGAUCUAGGGACCGGGAGAGGUGAGGGGUACUUCAGGGGUAGGAGUGAAAUCCUGUAAUCCUUGGGGGACCACCUGUGGCGAAGGCGCCUCACCAGAACGGUUCCGACAGUGAGGGACGAAAGCUGGGGGAGCAAACCGGAUUAGAUACCCGGGUAGUCCCAGCCGUAAACGAUGCGCGUUAGGUGUAUCGAUGACCACGAGUCAUCGAGGUGCCGAAGGGAAACCGUGAAACGCGCCGCCUGGGAAGUACGGUCGCAAGGCUGAAACUAAGUAAAGUAGUCGGGGAGGCACCACAACAACGGUAGGAGGACCGUCGCGGUUAACGUUACGACGUAC
Molecule: ribosomal RNA, 581 nt
Filed under: uncultured Methanomicrobiales archaeon
Lineage: Archaea; Methanobacteriati; Methanobacteriota; Methanomicrobia; Methanomicrobiales
Description: bacterial SSU rRNA
Rfam family: Archaeal small subunit ribosomal RNA
Source: RNAcentral